CCUACGGGUGACAGCAGUGAGGAAUAUUGGUCAAUGGACGAGAGUCUGAACCAGCCAAGUAGCGUGAAGGAUGACUGCCCUAUGGGUUGUAAACUUCUUUUAUAUGGGAAUAAAAUGUUCCACGUGUGGGAUUUUGUAUGUACCAUAUGAAUAAGGAUCGGCUAACUCCGUGCCAGCAGCCGCGGUGAUACGGAGGAUCCGAGCGUUAUCCGGAUUUAUUGGGUUUAAAGGGAGCGUAGGUGGAUUGUUAAGUCAGUUGUGAAAGUUUGCGGCUCAACCGUAAAAUUGCAGUUGAAACUGGCAGUCUUGAGUACAGUAGAGGUGGGCGGAAUUCGUGGUGUAGCGGUGAAAUGCUUAGAUAUCACGAAGAACUCCGAUUGCGAAGGCAGUUCACUGGACUGCAACUGACACUGAGGCUCGAAAGUGUGGGUAUCAAACAGGAUUAGAUACCCUGGUAGUC
RNAcentral lists this ribosomal RNA (460 nucleotides) under uncultured bacterium. RNAcentral's name for it is "partial 16S ribosomal RNA". It matches the Rfam family "Bacterial small subunit ribosomal RNA", at positions 338 to 795 of the family's 1533-position model. The record is from RNAcentral.